RNAcentral lists this ribosomal RNA (94 nucleotides) under Phoma herbarum. Its description in RNAcentral is "partial 18S small subunit ribosomal RNA". Lineage: Eukaryota; Fungi; Ascomycota; Dothideomycetes; Pleosporales; Didymellaceae. The record is from RNAcentral.
UCGGACUGGCUCGGAGAGGUUGGCAACGACCACUCCGAGCCGGAAAGUUCGUCAAACUCGGUCAUUUAGAGGAAGUAAAAGUCGUAACAAGGUU